AUGUUUUUAAAAGGAUGUUGAAGGCAUCCGAGGGUUAUACUGUCUCCUUUUUCUAAUCAUGAAACUAAUCUUCCCGUGAAGAAGCGGGAAUAAUUUUAUAAGACGAGAAGACCCUAUGGAGCUUUAAAUAAACAACAAAUAUCUACUUAUCUAAAUUAAGAAAACCAAAAUUAUCAGAUAUAUGAUUGCUAGUUUUAGGUUGGGGUGACCAUGGAGAACAAUACAACCCCCAUGUCGAAAUGAUUUUAAAAUUAGCUGCGAGUAACAACUCCAGCAUCAACACCUUGACGUCAAUUGACCCAAUUUUUAUCAAGAACCAAGUUCCCUGAUACAGCGCAUCCACUUCAAGACUCAAUACUACGACCUCGAUGUUGGAUCAGGAUAUCCAGUGGUGCAGCCGCUACAAGGUUCGUUUGUU
This 418-nucleotide ribosomal RNA is filed under the name Pseudopaludicola falcipes (Hensel's swamp frog). Its description in RNAcentral is "partial 16S ribosomal RNA". Lineage: Eukaryota; Metazoa; Chordata; Amphibia; Anura; Leptodactylidae. The record is from RNAcentral.